GCAAGUCGAACGGUAACAGACGGAAGCUUGCUUCUGUGCUGACGAGUGGCGGACGGGUGAGUAAUACAUAGGAAUCUGCCCAGUAGUGGGGGAUAACGUGGAGAAAUCCACGCUAAUACCGCAUAUGUCCCACGGGACAAAGCAGGGGACCUUCGGGCCUUGCGCUAUUGGAUGAGCCUAUGUCGGAUUAGCUAGUUGGUAGGGUAAAAGCCUACCAAGGCAACGAUCCGUAGCUGGUCUGAGAGGAUGAUC
Molecule: ribosomal RNA, 252 nt
Filed under: uncultured bacterium
Lineage: Bacteria
Description: partial 16S ribosomal RNA
Rfam family: Bacterial small subunit ribosomal RNA
Source: RNAcentral